This 65-nucleotide transfer RNA is filed under the name Camelus dromedarius (Arabian camel). It matches the Rfam family "tRNA". From Rfam's summary of the family: Transfer RNA (tRNA) molecules are approximately 80 nucleotides in length. Lineage: Eukaryota; Metazoa; Chordata; Mammalia; Artiodactyla; Camelidae. The record is from Rfam by way of RNAcentral. RNAcentral also lists the same sequence under 1 other name.
GGUAUAGCUCAGGGGUGCAGUGCGUGCUUAGCAUGCACGAGGCCCUGGGUUCAAGCCCCAGUACC